GAUGAACGCUGGCGGCGUGCCUAAUACAUGCAAGUCGAGCGAACGGACGAGAAGCUUGCUUCUCUGAUGUUAGCGGCGGACGGGUGAGUAACACGUGGAUAACCUACCUAUAAGACUGGGAUAACUUCGGGAAACCGGAGCUAAUACCGGAUGAUAUUUUGAACCGCAUGGUUCAAAAGUGAAAGACGGUCUUGCUGUCACUUAUAGAUGGUUCCGCGCUGCAUUAGCUAGUUGGUAAGGUAACGGCUUACCAAGGCAACGAUGCAUAGCCGACAUGAGAGGGGGAUAGGCCACACGGGAAGUGAGAAACGGAAAAGACUCCUACGGGAGGCAGCAGAAGGGAAGAGUACGCAAUGGGCGAAAGCAUGACGGAGCAACGCCGCGUGAGUGAUGAAGGUAUGCGGAUCGUAAAACUCUGUUAUUAGGGAAGAACAUAUGUGUAAGUAACUGUGCACAUCUUGACGGUACCUAAUCAGAAAGCCACGGCUAACUACGUG
RNAcentral lists this ribosomal RNA (497 nucleotides) under uncultured bacterium. Its description in RNAcentral is "partial 16S ribosomal RNA". It matches the Rfam family "Bacterial small subunit ribosomal RNA", at positions 28 to 507 of the family's 1533-position model. The record is from RNAcentral.